UGCCCUAGUAACGGCGAGUGAAGCGGCAAGAGCUCAAAUUUGAAAUCUGGCCCUCUCAGGGUCCGAGUUGUAAUUUGUAGAGGGCGCUUUGGCGUUGGCCCCGGCCUAAGUUCCUUGGAACAGGACGUCACAGAGGGUGAGAACCCCGUACGUGGCCGCCGGCCUCCGCCGUGUAAAGCCCCUUCGACGAGUCGAGUUGUUUGGGAAUGCAGCUCUAAAUGGGAGGUAAAUUUCUUCUAAAGCUAAAUACUGGCCAGAGACCGAUAGCGCACAAGUAGAGUGAUCGAAAGAUGAAAAGCACUUUGGAAAGAGAGUCAAAAAGCACGUGAAAUUGUUGAAAGGGAAGCGCUUGCAGCCAGACUUGCCUGUAGUUGCUCAUCCGAGCUCCCGCUCGGUGCACUCUUCUGCGGGCAGGCCAGCAUCAGUCCGGGCGGUCGGAUAAAGGCCUCGGGAAUGUAGCUCCCCUCGGGGAGUGUUAUAGCCCGGGGCGCCAUGCGACCAGCCUGGACUGAGGUCCGCGCAUCUGCUAGGAUGCUGGCGUAAUGGCUGUAAGCGGCCCGUCUUGAAACACGGACCAAGGAGUCUAACAUCUAUGCGAGUGUUUGGGUGUCAAGCCCGGGCGCGCAAUGAAAGUGAACGGAGGUGGGAACCCCUCGGGGCGCACCAUCGACCGAUCCUGAUGUCUUCGGAUGGAUUUGAGUAAGAGCAUAGCUGUUGGGACCCGAAAGAUGGUGAACUAUGCCUGAAUAGGGUGAAGCCAGAGGAAACUCUGGUGGAGGCUCGCAGCGGUUCUGACGUGCAAAUCGAUCGUCAAAUUUGGGCAUAGGGGCGAAAGACUAAUCGAACUAUCUAGUAGCUGGUUCCUGC
Molecule: ribosomal RNA, 867 nt
Filed under: Lophiotrema neoarundinariae
Lineage: Eukaryota; Fungi; Ascomycota; Dothideomycetes; Pleosporales; Lophiotremataceae
Description: partial large subunit ribosomal RNA
Rfam family: Eukaryotic large subunit ribosomal RNA
Source: RNAcentral